UACAACAUAGGGAAGCCAAUCACACUACGUUGUUUUUGAUCUAAAAAAGUUUGUAUCAUUUGUAAAUCUCUUCCACCGUCACAACUCACAAAGCUCUUUAGUUCUUCACCUCUUCUGUUCUUCUCUCAACAUCGCCCUGCUCUACAACCUAGUAGCAACCUUUGGGGUUUCUUCCGUUUCCAGCCAAGCCAACCUCCUAAUCUCGGUAGAGCCAAGCAAAAGUUCAUUUGUACUUUUCUUGUUUGCCAUUUUUCAUGAUCCUCACCCUAGUUUUUUCUAGGGUUUCGAAAUUGCAAAAGGGGGUAAACUACAAAUCUGGAAAAGGCUUGUCGUCUGAGUCUGAAUCGCUGUGGGAAAUCAUACAGGUUGUUUGAGCUUUCUAUUUUUUUGGUUCAAAGGACUCAUCUGCUUCUUCAUCUUCUGGGAUUUUUGGCUCUAUCUUUGCACCUUCGUCCCAGAUUUUAAUGGGGGAGUAGGCUUCGUUUGGGAUACAAUUUUUAGUGGUAAAGUGUUAGAUGUGCAAAGAGAAAUGGUCUCUCUUCUGUGUCGAGCGAUGCCUUGAACCCCCUUCGGGGUUACGUUUCUCUUCCGCAGGUCACCUUUAGCCCAAAGAGAUGGAUGUUGCCCAAUUCAGAAAACUCAGUUUUAGCCUCGACUGCGAAUGAUAUGCGCUGUGAUAAGUACACCCCCAUUGAUUCUGGAAAGUUGAAGUCCGCAGCUAUAGGGCUAUCUCAAAGUCAUAUCCACUAGCUGUUCACCCAAGAUUGAGUUUGAUCAGAAUUUUAGGAUGAAAUGAAACAGAAGUUUUCACAAGUUUUUCACAAUUCUGAUGGUACCAGUCCUGUCAUAAAUGAUGUUGAGAUAGUGAAAAACCAAUUAGGUAUCAGAAAGGGAUAUCGUCGUGGGUUCGGAAAUGGUUUUGUAGCUCCAAGCCAUCAACGUGUAUCCUUAUCUUUUGAAGAGGCUUCUAGAAAAAGGGUAAUAAAUGUUGAAGAAGAUAAUGCACAACUAAGGGAGAAAGUUACAAAUUUGGAGGAUAAGUUGGAUACAUUUCAGCACCUCCUUGAGUAGCAACAGCAACUCCUUUAGCAGCAACAACAGAACCAACAAUUGCCACCACGAUUCCACCAAUAGCAGCAUGCCCCACCAAGCUGGUAUCAGCAGCCGCCAACAUGGUGGCAAUUUCGGCACCACGCACCAGCAGCACCACAACAGUCACCUGAAUGAACUAUAAAGAUAAUUAUUUUGGUAGAUAUAUUUUGGAGCUUUUUGAUGGCUAGCUAGCUGAUUUCUAACUAUUUUGGUAGUGUAUUUUUUCCCUGCAUUUUCAUGAUUGCAUUCAGUUUAAAAUGAUGUUUUAAUUUUUAAGGAUGUUUGGAACCAUUUGAUGUUAAAGCAGUUACUAGAUACUUUUAGCUCUUCUUUACAAAACUGGAGAAUUUGUAGUUUCAUCAUGAGAUUAAGAGCUUGUUUGUUGGUAUCA
Cornus florida is the source of this 1483-nucleotide long non-coding RNA. RefSeq lists it as uncharacterized. Lineage: Eukaryota; Viridiplantae; Streptophyta; Magnoliopsida; Cornales; Cornaceae. The transcript is spliced from 5 exons. The record is from RefSeq and is a predicted model, not a curated record.